AUGGGAAUGCUCAGGAUGCACAGCUAACCCAGCACUCACCUGAGUGCCCCGCACAGGUAUGUGGACCGAGUGACUGAAUUCCUCCAGCAAAAGCUGAAGCAGUCCCAGCUGCUGGCUUUGAAGAAAGAGCUGAUGGUGCAGAAGCAGCAGGAGGCACUUGAGGAGCAGGCGGCUCUGGAGCCUAAGCUGGACCUGCUACUGGAGAAGACCAAGGAGCUGCAGAAGCUGAUUGAAGCUGACAUCUCCAGGAGGUACAGUGGGCGCCCUGUGAACCUGAUGGGAACCUCUCUGUGACACCCUCCGUGUUCUUGCCUGCCCAUCUUCUCCGCUUUUGGGAUGAAGAUGAUAGCCAGGGCUGUUGUUUUGGGGCCCUUCAAGGCAAAAGACCAGGCUGACUGGAAGAUGGAAAGCCACAGGAAGGAAGCGGCACCUGAUGGUGAUCUUGGCACUCUCCGUGUUCUCUACAAGAAGCUGUGGUGAUUGGCCCUGUGGUCUAUCAGGCGAAAACCACAGAUUCUCCUUCUAGUUAGUAUAGCGGACUUAAUAAAAGAGGAAAAAACUCUUGC
This 566-nucleotide small RNA is filed under the name Pan troglodytes (chimpanzee). RNAcentral's name for it is "retained intron". Lineage: Eukaryota; Metazoa; Chordata; Mammalia; Primates; Hominidae. The record is from RNAcentral.